Long non-coding RNA from Eriocheir sinensis (Chinese mitten crab), 1447 nucleotides. RefSeq lists it as uncharacterized. The transcript has 2 exons. The record is from RefSeq and is a predicted model, not a curated record. Lineage: Eukaryota; Metazoa; Arthropoda; Malacostraca; Decapoda; Varunidae.
CUCUCUCUCUCUCUCUCUCUCUCUCUCUCCGCAUUAAUCAUUCUAAGUAUUACAACCGUUAAUAAUGUGUGUGUGUGUGUGUGUGUGUGUGUUAUCGGACCCACACACUAACACAUCAUACAACAGUAGGAGCUUCAAACACUUACAUAUGAACAUACAAACGAUACUUACUUAACAUAUAUUUCAUUAUUUUAAAGUGAUGGACAUUUUUUUGUUUACACUGAAUCACAUCUCUUAACAGAAUACAAAUCAAAAUAUUGUACGUGAUUUAUUCCUAUAACCUACGACUAGUGCAAUGACGGUUUGAAGACGAAAGGAGCGAUGUUUAAAUAGUUUGGGGUCUUUUUUUCUGCACCAACAAGGAAAAGGUAGUGAGGUAUGAGAGCUUUCUGACGCGUAACAAGAAGCCAGAUAGAUAACAUUUUUUUUUUUUACAACAAAGUAGACAGCUCAAGGGCACAAAAAAAGAAAACAAUGAUAAAAAAAAAAAAGCCCGCUACUUGCUGCUCCUACAAAAAAAAUCAAAAGAGGUGGCCGAAAGAGAGGUUAAUUCCGGGAUGAGAGGUAAGAACAUUAACAAUCAGGUUCAAAACGUCAGGUAAAAACAUCAACAAUUAGGUUAAAACGUUAGGUAAGAAUGUCAACUUAUAGCUCGGUUUGCGCUUCUCUGCACCCACACUGAAGGAAGCAGAGGAAGGACAACUUAACACUUAACAAAACACUGGGAAGAAGGCGUUUGUAAGAGCAUCAACUUAAAGGUUUGUGCGUUUAUCUGCAUUACUACUGAGAGAAGGAAAUAUUGGACAGCUUGAUAACACGUAGCACAAUAUUGGAAAGACGCCAGGUAAAAACACACAACUUCCAUAAAAGCUUCAGCUCUUCUUUGAAACCUCUAAACCGUGAGGAGGAGGAGGAGGAGGAGGAGGUGGAAGAGGAGGAAAAGUUAGAACAAAUAUUAAACAGGUAACACAACAUUGGAAUUAAGAUUAAUGCCUCAGAUCUUUUUUGAGACUUGAGAUCGUGAGAAGGAGGUGAGGAAGAACAGGUACAUUUAACAGGUAACAAAACACUGGGAUGAAGACCUUAGAUAACAACAGUAUAAAAUCGGUAUUCCAUCUCUUUUUAAACUUCAGAUCGUGAGGAGGUGAGGAAGAACAGAUGCUUUUAACAGGUAACAAAACAAUGGAAUGAAGACGUGUACAGAGAACAUCUAAUUAAAUACACCCAGUAGAUUGCUUAUACGAGGCCUUGUUUUGUUGUUUUGUUGUUGAUUCCACUUGAUUCCACUCUCAGCCAGGUCUCACGCACACGCCAGCCACCCAAAGCAUCCCUCGCCCGCAGGAAACGCCCGUAACGCAGGCUAACACAGCGGCCGCGGCUUCCCUCUCCGCCCGCCCGCCAGGAAGCAGCCGAGAAGAAAAAUAAUUCCUCCCUCCUGAUCCUUGGC